CAGGGCUCUCAAGUCUCACGCAUUCACCGUGAGACACACGCAUUUCAACCAGUUCACACGCUCUCACGCCACACCUUGUAUUUUUCAAGCUAAAAAGUAAGGGAUAACUUACAUAUACUGUUAUAUAACGCUAUAUACUGUUAAUGGACGAGGCGUAGGCUUGCAGGGGGAGUUCAUCGCUGUCUUGACAGUUAAAUGCCACCUACCAGCAAAUGUCUGAAAUUAGAAUUGUUUGUUUUCGACUAAAUUACGUGAUACCGCUUCAGUCACGUUCGUCACUCGGCAACAUGGACGCGCACACACGGGACGAGGCAAGCGGUGGAACCGUCGAUCGCGUGGCUGCCGCUUUCUCUAGCAGUGGAAGCGUUAUGUACAGUCGCGUUGCGGCCACGGAGCGGACGUUGUCGUUUGUAUUUACAACAAAAUAAGUGCAGUAGGUAACCCAUUCUUCUGUCUUCUUCUUCAGUAGCACUCAACACUGAUUACUGUCAGACUUACCUUCAUCACUUGACUUAAGAUUAUAAUAAUAAUUUAAUUUUAGAGCCCAACCACCACAAAAUCAGACUUUAGCACCUAGGUUAGGUUAAAUACAGAUUUAAAAUCAGAAGAUAUAGUUUAGCAGCUAUGAUACCAUUUUUAUAAUCAGAUCCUUGCAGUUAAUCGUAAAAAAAAAAAGCAUAUACAUAAACCCAAAUAUGUAAAUAAAUCAGUUAUUGCAUAAGCAUGUGUCCUAUUUUGUGUACUAAACUUCUGAAACGUUUUGUCUCAUAUUUUAGAGCAGUCAAUGCAAUUUGGGAAAGAAAUUAAUCAAAUCUGUGUGAAAAUAUUCAGAUGUAACCCCUUUGUGAUUUUCAUAAGUAACUGUAAUUUAACUAUACAUUGUUUCUCAGCAACUGUAACCGAUUAGUUACAAUUAUUUUGUAAUUAAAUGAUGUAAUUCCAUUACAUGUAACUAGUUAAGUUUGAGCCCCAACCACUGUCAUCAAGGUAUCAAUAUGUGCAACAAACACUUGCAAAACAAAAUGCCAUUAUUAAGCUGAAAUAUGUGCUUUCUCUCUCUCACACACACACAGCUUGACAUGCUCAGGGCAAGUUCUGCAAUACUGUAUGUGUAGGCCUAGAGUAUGUACUUUGAGAACUGCUGUUUAUUGGCUCAUUUGGGGUCAAAUUUCCUUUGAUUUUUGAUACGUUUGUAUUUUUGAAAUAUAUAUAUAUUUUUUUUUAUGAAUUUGACUUUAAUCAAACUUACCAGUUGUUAUAGUUUCUAUUUUGUGCUGGUCAGUUAUGACCAAUAGAUAAAAUUUAACUUCUAGCAAAAACUGGAGAGAAUUGCGUGGGGCCGAGGGGCUCCUCUCCCAACAGAUAUAAUCUCACUCCAAACUUUUUCUAAAACUUGAGAGCCCUGCAGGUAUGUGUGCUAGAAUCAAUCAAUAACAAACUGGCAAUACUCAAACUUCUACAUCAAGACAUAAAAGACUUAAAAGCGAGUCUGGAAUUCAGCCAAACACAAAUCGCAUCCUUGCAAAAUGAGAACAACGAACCGCAAAGCAAGAUAAUAAUAAUAUCACAACGCAAUUGGAUAAAGUCACCGAGGAAAAUAAACUUCUGAAAGAAACUGUCCUUGAUCUUCAGUGUCGUAGCAUGCGAGACAAUCUGAUCUUCUCAGGAAUUCCCGAACAAAUACAAGACAACCCAGAACACGCAAUAAAAGAAUUCAUGAACUUAAAUCUGAAGAUCCCAAAAGAAACAGUAGAGAAGAUCACCUUUCAACGCGUCCACCGUCUCGGCCAUCAAAACAACCAGAUAGCAGGUUAAUCCACACAACUAUUGGGGAGAGGAAAAACAAAAAGGCAAGAGAGAAGGGGAAAAAAGGAGGAAUUAGGAGGAGACAUGAAGGACGGGAAGCAAGAGAAUUCCACGGGUUCAAACCAACAUAAAUGACAGAUCAGACUUGACAGGAACUGAAGUGGGAGAGAGAGAGAGGGAAAGGUCCUCGAGCCAGGAUUCGAACACGGGACACCUGGAGCUCAACAGCGCUCUUUAUUUGCUUCAGCUGAAGAGAAAGUUUCCAGCAACACUUACGUUCCCUCCUCCUUCAGUACAGGCGCUGGGCAGAGCAGUAGGUCUUUGCUUCAGGCUCGACGACUAUUUACCUCCUGUGCAAAUACUUGAGGGCUCCACGGCAAGGAUUUCUAUGCAGGAUCUUUUCAAGAUCUAAGGCAAGAAAAGAUGAAUGCAUUUAUGUUUGAAUAUUCUGAGCAUGUCAUAGAUGUCAUUUUUAUUGUUGUAAUUUAUAGCAGCAUCCUAAUUGUCAUGCAGCCUCAUAAAUGACUGAUUUGCAGCACUCAUAAUCCUUUUUAAUUAGCUUGAGAUAUUUUACAAAUAUUUUUGGUACUAAAUUAAAUAUUUUAGUUGAAUUCAAUGUAAUUGUUGUGUAAUUAAUUGUUCUGAAUAGUAUUUUUAGAUGCACUUUAUAUUUAUAAUUGCAUUGCAUAUCAUUUUUUUUAAUUAUACAUGAAAUGCUGUUUUUUUUGGUAAAAAUGUGUCAAAAGUGCAUUUGUGACCCUGGACCACAACAUCAGCCUUAAGUAACCUGUCUAUAUUUGUAGCAAUAGCCGAAAAUACAUUGUAUGGGUCAGAAUUAUUUUUUCUUUUAUGCUAAAAAUCAUUAGGAUUUUAAGUAAAGUUCAUGUUCCAUUAAUAUAUUUUGUAAAUAUCCUACCAUAAAAGUAUAUCACAACUUAAUUUUAAGUAAUAUGCUAAGAACUUAAUUUGGACAAAUUUAAAGGCGAUUUCUCAAUAUUUUUAUUUUUUUUGCACCCACAGAUUCCAGAUUUUCAAAUAGUUGUAUCUCAGCCAAAUAUUGUCCUAUCCUAACAAACCAUACAACAAUGGAAAGCUUAUUUAUUUAGCUUUUUCAUAUAAUAUAUAAAUCUCAAUUUAAAAACAAAUUACCCUUAUGACUGGUUUUGUGGUCCAGGGUCACAUUUGAUACCAUAAAAUGCUGCCUAUAUAUUCAAGUCACAACACAACAAAAGUGUCAUAACGCAUUUGAUGCGUCAAUAAAAUCAUCAAUAGAAAGAAA
This is a long non-coding RNA of Labeo rohita (rohu), 3085 nucleotides long. RefSeq lists it as uncharacterized. The transcript is spliced from 6 exons. NCBI's taxonomy places the organism in Eukaryota, Metazoa, Chordata, Actinopteri, Cypriniformes, Cyprinidae. The record is from RefSeq and is a predicted model, not a curated record.